AGUGAACGCUGGCGGUAGGCCUAACACAUGCAAGUCGAACGGCAGCACAGUAAGAGCUUGCUCUUACGGGUGGCGAGUGGCGGACGGGUGAGGAAUACAUCGGAAUCUACUCUUUCGUGGGGGAUAACGUAGGGAAACUUACGCUAAUACCGCAUACGACCUACGGGUGAAAGCAGGGGAUCUUCGGACCUUGCGCGAUUGAAUGAGCCGAUGUCGGAUUAGCUAGUUGGCGGGGUAAAGGCCCACCAAGGCGACGAUUCGUAGCUGGUCUGAGAGGAUGAUCGGCCACACUGGAACUGAAACACGGUCCAGACUCCUACGAUAGGCAGCAGUGGGGAAUAUUGGACAAUGGGCGCAAGCCUGGUCCAGCCAUACCGCGUGGGUGACGAAGGCCUUCGGUUUGUAAAGCCCUUUUGUUGGGAAAGAAAAGCAGCAGGUUAAUACCCCGCUGUUCUGACGGUACCCAAAGAAUAAGCACCGGCUAACUUCGUG
This 492-nucleotide ribosomal RNA is filed under the name uncultured bacterium. Its description in RNAcentral is "partial 16S ribosomal RNA". It matches the Rfam family "Bacterial small subunit ribosomal RNA", at positions 29 to 507 of the family's 1533-position model. The record is from RNAcentral.